Paramuricea clavata is the source of this 292-nucleotide non-coding RNA. The record is from the annotation of a GenBank genome assembly. Lineage: Eukaryota; Metazoa; Cnidaria; Anthozoa; Malacalcyonacea; Plexauridae.
GCUCUUAGAAAUUCCUUUAACUUCCUAGUAAAUUUGCUCUUAGCACUUGUUCUUUGACUUUUGGCACUUUCUAUUUCGUCGGACAUCUUUGUUUUUACACGUUAUUCGGUUCACUACGUUUAAUAAACACUAACUCAUCAAAAUUCUGGCAUAAUUUAGGCUUUCGUACCUUCAGAGACGGAUUUCGAAUGUUUUGUUAGCCGCUUUCUUCGUUUUCAACCGCCAUUUCAGAAACAAACAACAACGAAUGUCAACGUACAUUUAAUAGUUUCGAAAUCUAAACAAUACAAAA